GAUCGACUCUAAGGAAAUCCUGAGUACAGUGGCGUACGGGUGAGUAACACGUGGGUAAUCUACCCUUUGGUGGGGAAUAACUCUGGGAAACCGGAGCUAAUACCGCAUAAUCCCGAGAGGGAAAAGCAGCAAUGCGCCGAAGGAGGAGCCCGCGGCCGAUUAGCUAGUUGGUGAGGUAACGGCCCACCAAGGCAAAGAUCGGUAGCCGGCCUGAGAGGGCACACGGCCACACUGGCACUGAAACACGGGCCAGACUCCUACGGGAGGCAGCAGUGGGGAAUCUUGCACAAUGGGGGAAACCCUGAUGCAGCGACGCCGCGUGAGCGAUGAAGCCCUUCGGGGUGUAAAGCUCUUUCGGCAGGGAAGAUUAUGACGGUACCUGCAGAAGCAGCUGCGGCUAACUACGUGCCAGCAGCCGCGGUAAUACGUAGGCAGCAAGCGUUGUUCGGAGUUACUGGGCGUAAAGGGUGUGUAGGCGGCUCCCUAAGUUUGGUGUGAAAUCUCCCGGCUCAACCGGGAGGGUGCGCCGAAUACUGAGGGGCUAGAGUGCGGGAGAGGAAAGUGGAAUUCCUGGUGUAGCGGUGAAAUGCGUAGAUAUCAGGAGGAACACCGGUGGUGUAGACGGCUUUCUGGACCGUAACUGACGCUGAGACACGAAAGCGUGGGUAGCAAACAGGAUUAGAUACCCUGGUAGUCCACGCCCUAAACGAUGCAUAUUUGGUGUGGGCCAUUCAUUUGGUCCGUGCCGGAGCUAACGCGUUAAAUAUGCCGCCUGGGGAGUACAGUCGCAAGGCUGAAACUCAAAGGAAUUGACGGGGGCCCGCACAAGCGGUGGAGCAUGUGGUUCAAUCCGACGCACCGCGAAGAACCUUACCUGGGGCUCGAACGGCUUGGUCAACGCCGG
This 904-nucleotide ribosomal RNA is filed under the name uncultured soil bacterium. RNAcentral describes it as "bacterial SSU rRNA". It matches the Rfam family "Bacterial small subunit ribosomal RNA", at positions 64 to 1003 of the family's 1533-position model. The record is from RNAcentral.